This 283-nucleotide long non-coding RNA is filed under the name Gossypium raimondii (Peruvian cotton). Its description in RNAcentral is "long non-coding RNA (GRAI_LNC009822)". Lineage: Eukaryota; Viridiplantae; Streptophyta; Magnoliopsida; Malvales; Malvaceae. The record is from RNAcentral.
AAUACCCACCUAAACUAACCCAAUUACAACCCAAACCCAAUCAGCCCAAUUAUCAAAACCCUAGCAGCCCACUAAGCCCAAAACAUGAAACCCUAGUCUCUGCCUCUAGCGCCGCGCCCCUAACCUCAGCCACCUACCCUCUGCUCCACCUGCUCUCUGUCACCACUACCGCAGCACGUCUCUAACCUGCAAACAAUAAAAGCAGAAACAGACAACACAAGAAAAAAAAAGAUAUUUUUCUUUUCAUUUUUCGGUUAUAAAGCCGAAACAGAUUGUAAAGUAA